GUCUGUUUGUAAUAUUGUGAACAGUCUGGCCUGCCCACUGAGUGUUUAAAGGGCUGCGGUAAUUUGACCGUGCGAAGGUAGCAUAGUCACUAGUCCCUUAAUUGGGGGCUUGUAUGAAAGGUCGGAUGAGAAAUAAGCUGUCUUUUUUGUGUUGUGAAUUUAACUUUUAAGUGAAAAGGCUUAGAUUUUUUAGGGGGACGAUAAGACCCUAUAAAACUUAAUAUAGUUUCUUUUUGAUGCGAGGGCAGAGUUUAAAUCCGUUUUUAAGAAAUUAUAUUUUGUUGGGGAGAUGUUUGUAUAAUUUGUAACUGCUUUGUGAAUUGAAUAAUUAUAAUUAGUUUUUGAUCCUUUAUUAGAGAUUUAAAGAUUAAGUUACUUUAGGGAUAACAGCGUGAUUGUCUUUGAGAGUUCUUAUCGACAAGAUUAGUUGCGACCUCGAUGUUGAAUUAAAAUUUCAGAUUGGUGUAGCCGCUUUUCUGGUAGGUCUGUUCGACCUUUAAAAUUUU
RNAcentral lists this ribosomal RNA (506 nucleotides) under Pontonia panamica. Its description in RNAcentral is "partial 16S ribosomal RNA". It matches the Rfam family "Bacterial large subunit ribosomal RNA", at positions 1819 to 2597 of the family's 2925-position model. Lineage: Eukaryota; Metazoa; Arthropoda; Malacostraca; Decapoda; Palaemonidae. The record is from RNAcentral.